GGGUCCUACGGGGGGCAGCAGUGGGGGAUAUUGCACAAUGGGGGGAACCCUGAUGCAGCGACGCCGCGUGGGUGAAGAAGCGCCUCGGCGCGUAAAGCCCUGUCAGCAGGGAAGAAAAUGACGGUACCUGAAGAAGAAGCCCCGGCUAACUACGUGCCAGCAGCCGCGGUAAUACGUAGGGGGCAAGCGUUAUCCGGAUUUACUGGGUGUAAAGGGGGCGCAGACGGCGAUGAAAGCCAGGAGUGAAAGCCCGGGGUCCACCCCCGGGAGUGCUCUUGGAAAUGCGCGGCUGGAGUGCAGGAGGG
Molecule: ribosomal RNA, 305 nt
Filed under: uncultured bacterium
Lineage: Bacteria
Description: partial 16S ribosomal RNA
Rfam family: Bacterial small subunit ribosomal RNA
Source: RNAcentral